Molecule: ribosomal RNA, 324 nt
Filed under: uncultured bacterium
Lineage: Bacteria
Description: bacterial SSU rRNA
Rfam family: Bacterial small subunit ribosomal RNA
Source: RNAcentral
GACGAACGCUGGCGGCGUGCUUAACACAUGCAAGUCGAGCGGUAAGGCCCUUUCGGGGUACGACGAGCGGCGAACGGGUGAGUAACACGUGGGUGACCUGCCCUCAGCUCUGGGAGUAAGCCUGGGAAACCGGGUCUAAUACCGGAUAUGACUCCAUGACGCAUGUUGUGGGGUGGAAAGCCUUGUGCGGCUGAGGAUGGGCCCGCGGCCUAUCAGCUUGUUGGUGGGGUGAUGGCCACCAAGGCGACGACGGGUAGCCGGCCUGAGAGGGCGACCGGCCACACUGGGACUGAGACACGGCCCAGACUCCUACGGGAGGCAGCA